AGGGUGAAGCGCGGGUAAGACCGCGUGGAGGCCCGAACCCACUUAGGUUGAAGACUGAGGGGAUGAGUUGUGGGUAGGGGUGAAAGGCCAAUCAAACUCCGUGAUAGCUGGUUCUCCCCGAAAUGCAUUUAGGUGCAGCGUCGCAGUGUUCGUGUCGGAGGUAGAGCUACUGGAUGGCCGAUGGGCCUCACAAGGUUACUGACGUCAGCCAAACUCCGAAUGCCGACACGGUUGAAUGCGGCAGUGAGACGGCGG
Molecule: ribosomal RNA, 255 nt
Filed under: Mycobacterium sp. ITM-2017-0098
Lineage: Bacteria; Bacillati; Actinomycetota; Actinomycetes; Mycobacteriales; Mycobacteriaceae
Description: partial 23S ribosomal RNA
Rfam family: Bacterial large subunit ribosomal RNA
Source: RNAcentral